CGGGGGGGGCAAGCGUUGUUCGGAAUUACUGGGCGUAAAGGGCUCGUAGGCGGCCAACUAAGUCCGACGUGAAAUCCCCAGGCUUAACCUGGGAACUGCGUCGGAUACUGGAUGGCUUGAAUUCGGGAGAGGGAUGCAGAAUUCCAGGUGUAGCGGUGAAAUGCGUAGAUAUCUGGAGGAAUACCGGUGGCGAAGGCGGCAUCCUGGACCGACAUUGACGCUGAGUGAGCGAAAGCUAGGGGAGCAAACGGGAUUAGAUACCCCGGUAGUUCUAGCCCUAAACGAUGAAUGCUUGGUGUGGCGGGUAUCGAUCCCUGCCGUGCCGAAGCUAACGCAUUAAGCAUUCCGCCUGGGGAGUACGGUCGCAAGGCUG
This 373-nucleotide ribosomal RNA is filed under the name uncultured organism. RNAcentral's name for it is "bacterial SSU rRNA". It matches the Rfam family "Bacterial small subunit ribosomal RNA", at positions 526 to 896 of the family's 1533-position model. The record is from RNAcentral.